UAGAGCAUUCGCCUUUUAAGCGAAGGGUCCUGGGUUCGAUUCCCAGGCGGCCCA
This 54-nucleotide transfer RNA is filed under the name Deltaproteobacteria bacterium. RNAcentral's name for it is "tRNA-Ser". It matches the Rfam family "tRNA", at positions 19 to 71 of the family's 71-position model. Rfam says of the family: Transfer RNA (tRNA) molecules are approximately 80 nucleotides in length. Lineage: Bacteria; Pseudomonadati; Myxococcota; Myxococcia. The record is from RNAcentral.